GAUGAAGAACGUAGCGAAAUGCGAUAAGUAAUGUGAAUUGCAGAAUUCAGUGAAUCAUCGAAUCUUUGAAUGCACAUUGCGCCCUCUGGUAUUCCGGGGGGCAUGCCUGUUCGAGCGUCAUUUCAACCCUCAAGCACAGCUUGGUGUUGGGACUCGCGUUAAUUCGCGUUCCUCAAAUUGAUUGGCGGUCACGUCGAGCUUCCAUAGCGUAGUAGUAAAACCCUCGUUACUGGUAAUCGUCGCGGCCACGCCGUUAAACCCCAACUUCUGAAUGUUGACCUCGGAUCAGGUAGGAAUACCCGCUGAACUUAAGCAUAUCAAUAAGCGGAGGA
Molecule: unclassified non-coding RNA, 332 nt
Filed under: soil metagenome
Description: partial contains 5.8S ribosomal RNA, internal transcribed spacer 2, and large subunit ribosomal RNA
Rfam family: 5.8S ribosomal RNA (bases 1-120)
Source: RNAcentral